ACCUGCGAGGUAGCUCAGUCAGUAAAGCGUGAGAUUCUUAUUCUCAGGGUUGUAGGUUCGAGCCUCAUGUCGGGCA
This is a non-coding RNA of Podarcis lilfordi (Lilford's wall lizard), 76 nucleotides long. The record is from the annotation of a GenBank genome assembly. NCBI's taxonomy places the organism in Eukaryota, Metazoa, Chordata, Lepidosauria, Squamata, Lacertidae.